RNAcentral lists this unclassified non-coding RNA (351 nucleotides) under soil metagenome. RNAcentral describes it as "partial contains 5.8S ribosomal RNA, internal transcribed spacer 2, and large subunit ribosomal RNA". The stretch from base 1 to 120 matches the Rfam family "5.8S ribosomal RNA", at positions 35 to 154 of the family's 154-position model. The record is from RNAcentral.
GAUGAAGAACGCAGCGAAAUGCGAAAAGUAAUGUGAAUUGCAGAAUUCAGUGAAUCAUCGAAUCUUUGAACGCACAUUGCGCCCGCCAGUAUUCUGGCGGGCAUGCCUGUCUGAGCGUCAUUUCAACCCUCACGCCCCUAGGGCGUGGUGUUGGGGAUCGGCCAAGGCCCGCAAGGGACGGCCGGCCCCUAAAUCUAGUGGCGGACCCAUCGUGGCCUCCCCUGCGAAGUAGUAAUAUAUUCCGCAUCGAAUAGCGAUGAGCCCCUGCCGUUAAACCCCCAACUCUUUCAAGGUUGACCUCAGAUCAGGUAGGAAUACCCGCUGAACUUAAGCAUAUCAAUAAGCGGAGGA